GACGAACGCUGGCGGCGUGCUUAACACAUGCAAGUCGAACGGAAAGGCCCUGCUUUUGUGGGGUGCUCGAGUGGCGAACGGGUGAGUAACACGUGAGUAACCUGCCCUUGACUUUGGGAUAACUCCAGGAAACUGGGGCUAAUACCGGAUAGGAGCUCCUGCUGCAUGGUGGGGGUUGGAAAGUUUCGGCGGUUGGGGAUGGACUCGCGGCUUAUCAGCUUGUUGGUGGGGUAGUGGCUUACCAAGGCUUUGACGGGUAGCCGGCCUGAGAGGGUGACCGGCCACAUUGGGACUGAGAUACGGCCCAGACUCCUACGGGAGGCAGCAGUGGGGAAUAUUGCACAAUGGGCGGAAGCCUGAUGUAGCAACGCCGCGUGCGGGAUGACGGCCUUCGGGUUGUAAACCGCUUUCGCCUGUGACGAAGCGUGAGUGACGGUAAUGGGUAAAGAAGCACCGGCUAACUACGUG
This 468-nucleotide ribosomal RNA is filed under the name uncultured bacterium. RNAcentral describes it as "partial 16S ribosomal RNA". It matches the Rfam family "Bacterial small subunit ribosomal RNA", at positions 28 to 507 of the family's 1533-position model. The record is from RNAcentral.